This 253-nucleotide ribosomal RNA is filed under the name uncultured bacterium. Its description in RNAcentral is "partial 16S ribosomal RNA". It matches the Rfam family "Bacterial small subunit ribosomal RNA", at positions 524 to 776 of the family's 1533-position model. The record is from RNAcentral.
UACGGGAGUGGCAAGCGUUAUCCGGAAUUAUUGGGCGUAAAGCGUCCGCAGGCGGCCUUGUAAGUCUGUCGUUAAAGCGUGGAGCUCAACUCCAUUUCAGCGAUGGAAACUACAAGGCUUGAGUGUGGUAGGGGCAGAGGGAAUUCCCGGUGUAGCGGUGAAAUGCGUAGAUAUCGGGAAGAACACCAGUGGCGAAGGCGCUCUGCUGGGCCAUAACUGACGCUCAUGGACGAAAGCCAGGGGAGCGAAAGGG